AUUUGCUCAAAAUCACUUUUGGCCAUUUUGCUAAAAGCUGUCAAACUACCAAAAAACCUAGCCUUGCACUGUAUUUUUUCACCCUCCAUUCAUCACUUUGGAACCCUGCUAGCACCACCUAACACAGCCAAAAAGCCUUGGUGCUCUCUCUCUCAAAAGAUCACAUUUUGGCCAAGAUCAUUUUCUGUCCAAAAAUCUCCAAAGGAACAAAUGCCUGGCCCUGCUUGAC
Molecule: long non-coding RNA, 229 nt
Filed under: Lathyrus oleraceus (garden pea)
Lineage: Eukaryota; Viridiplantae; Streptophyta; Magnoliopsida; Fabales; Fabaceae
Description: Pisum sativum (pea) long non-coding RNA (PSAT_LNC012589)
Source: RNAcentral